Molecule: ribosomal RNA, 397 nt
Filed under: uncultured bacterium
Lineage: Bacteria
Description: partial 16S ribosomal RNA
Rfam family: Bacterial small subunit ribosomal RNA
Source: RNAcentral
AUACGUAGGGGGCAAGCGUUGUCCGGAUUUAUUGGGCGUAAAGCGCUCGCAGGCGGCCGGCCGCGUCGUGCGUGAAGGCCCUCGGUUCAACCGUGGGUGGUCGCAGGGAACGGGUCGGCUGGAGGUAGGUAGGGGGACGCGGAAUUCCCGGUGUAGUGGUGGAAUGCGUAGAGAUCGGGAGGAACACCGGCGGCGAAGGCGGCGUCCGGGACCUGGCCGGACGCUCAGGAGCGAAAGCGUGGGGAGCGAUCCGGAUUAGAUACCCGGGUAGUCCACGCCGUAAACGAUGCGGACUAGGUGUCGGGGGUAUCGACCCCCUCGGUGCCGCAGCUAACGCGGUAAGUCCGCCGCCUGGGGAGUACGGCCGCAAGGCUAAAACUCAAAUGAAUUGGCGGGG